Molecule: ribosomal RNA, 253 nt
Filed under: uncultured bacterium
Lineage: Bacteria
Description: partial 16S ribosomal RNA
Rfam family: Bacterial small subunit ribosomal RNA
Source: RNAcentral
UACGGGGGGGGCAAGCGUUGUCCGGAAUCAUUGGGCGUAAAGCGCGCGUAGGCGGCCAGAUAAGUCCGGUGUGAAAGUCACAGGCUCAACCUGUGAAUGCCGCUGGAAACUGUCUGGCUAGAGUCCGGAAGGGGCGAGUGGAAUUCCUGGUGUAGCGGUGAAAUGCGCAGAUAUCAGGAGGAACACCAAUGGCGAAGGCAGCUCGCUGGAACGGUACUGACGCUGAGGCGCGAAAGCGUGGGGAGCGAACAGG